CCUACGGGAGGCAGCAGUAGGGAAUAUUGCUCAAUGGGGGAAACCCUGAAGCAGCAACGCCGCGUGGAGGAUGAAGGUCUUCGGAUUGUAAACUUCUGUUGUCAGAGAAGAUAAUUACGGUAUCUAACGAAUAAGCACCGGCUAACUCCGUGCCAGCAGCCGCGGUCAUACGGAGGGUGCAAGCGUUACUCGGAUUCACUGGGCGUAAAGAGCGCGUAGGCGGGAUGGCAAGUCAGAUGUGAAAUCCUAUGGCUUAACCAGAGAACUGCAUUUGAAACUGUUAGUCUAGAGUGUGGGAGAGGUAGGUGGAAUUCUUGGUGUAGGGGUAAAAUCCGUAGAGAUCAAGAGGAAUACUCAUGGCGAAGGCGACCUGCUAGAACAUAACUGACGCUGAGGCGCGAAAGCGUGGGGAGCAAACAGGAUUAGAUACCCUAGUAGUC
This 440-nucleotide ribosomal RNA is filed under the name uncultured bacterium. Its description in RNAcentral is "partial 16S ribosomal RNA". It matches the Rfam family "Bacterial small subunit ribosomal RNA", at positions 338 to 795 of the family's 1533-position model. The record is from RNAcentral.